This is a long non-coding RNA of Gossypium arboreum, 571 nucleotides long. RefSeq lists it as uncharacterized. The record is from RefSeq and is a predicted model, not a curated record. Lineage: Eukaryota; Viridiplantae; Streptophyta; Magnoliopsida; Malvales; Malvaceae. The transcript is spliced from 2 exons.
UAAACCAGAAAAAACUUUUCUUUUUUUUUAAUUCCAUUACCAACCCCCAAUUUUAAACAAAAAGAACAGAUAGCUUCCCUUCUCUCUUCCCCUUCCCCCCUCUUUUUUACUUGUUGGAGGCUCGUUUUAAAAACGAAAGACAAGGGUUCAACUCCCUUUUUUAGACUCAACCACGCCGAACGGAGGGGAGGGCUCCGACAACGCGGCGACGGGGCCGGAUCUGGUUAUGGGAGUGUCAGACGCAUUGAGGAGGAGGGCAUGCGCUGGGUGUGGUGGCCUGAACAGUGGUGGUGGCGCGCGUGAUGGCCAAGGGCAGAGGGGGCAUGCGGCUGAACUUUGGUGGCUGCAUCUUGGGUUGCUGCUGAAAAACCUUAAGCAAGUGGGCUGUUAUUUGGGCUAGGGUUUGAUGUAAAUUGGGCUGUUUAAUAUUGUAAAUGGGCUAUUUAUUUUAGACUCUUUUUUAUUAUUUUGGGUUUUGUUAUUUUUUAUUUGUCUGGGCCAAAAAUUGGCCAUUACAAUCAAUUUGUUUCGAAAAAAAUGUUAAAUUUUUAAAAAAAUAUUUUAUUUUUUA